CAGUCGCCGCGGGAAUACGUAGGGUGCAAGCGUUAAUCGGAAUUACUGGGCGUAAAGCGUGCGCAGGCGGUGUUGUAAGACUGAUGUAAAAUCCCCGGGCUCAACCUGGGAACUGCCUUUGUGACUGCAAGGCUAGAGUACGGCAGAGGGGGAUGGAAUUCCGCGUGUAGCAGUGAAAUGCGUAGAUAUGCGGAGGAACACCGAUGGCGAAGGCAAUCCCCUGGGCCUGUACUGACGCUCAUGCACGAAAGCGUGGGGAGCAAACAGGAUUAGAUACCCCCGUAGUCCCUGUCUCUUAUAC
RNAcentral lists this ribosomal RNA (301 nucleotides) under uncultured bacterium. Its description in RNAcentral is "partial 16S ribosomal RNA". It matches the Rfam family "Bacterial small subunit ribosomal RNA", at positions 509 to 807 of the family's 1533-position model. The record is from RNAcentral.